CUUGUGCCUGGUCUUGGUGGCACUUGCCUCAAGGAUUGCUUGAGUCUGGGCAUUCUGGGCUGUAGUGUACUAAGCCGAUCUGGUAUCCACACUAAGUUUGGCAUCAGUAUGGUCCAGGCUGCAUAAGGAGGGGUGAACCGGCCCAGACCAGAACCAGAGCAGGUCAGAACUCCUGUGCUGAUCAGUAGUGGGAUCGUGCCUGUGAAUAGGCACUGCAUUUCAGCCCAGGCAACAUAUCAAGA
Homo sapiens (human) is the source of this 242-nucleotide unclassified non-coding RNA. NCBI's taxonomy places the organism in Eukaryota, Metazoa, Chordata, Mammalia, Primates, Hominidae. The record is from Ensembl.